UGGAGGGUCAAAAGAGACGAUGCGUGGAAUGCGACGAUCCGGGUGGCAAGUCCCUAAUUAGAGCAGUGAAAAUAGAAGCUGAGGACAGGUCGACUUUCAGAGGAAGGCAUCUCUCCUAUUUAGAGCUGACCCCCUUCCCAGGGCCUGUGUAGUGCCUGCUGACCUCUCCAAUUGCUUCCAUCUGAUCAGAAGGAGAGACACACUCAAAACUCACAACCCAGAUCCCAGCUUAAGCUGCGACUGUACCCCUCAAGUGGAGUGCCUGGGCAGGUGGUGAGCAACCCAUCACCCGGAGAGUCCAAGCAGGGCUGCCAUGGAGGAGCAUCCCUAUGCAGGUGGGAGGACCCUCUGGUGCUGAUACUGGUGGUAGCAGGGGCCCUGAGGCCCUGCCUUAUGCCCAGGAGAGGAGGGGGGCUCCUGGGUCCCUCUUUGGAAAGGAGGGUGAAAUUUCUAGGAAAGGCCCAGG
RNAcentral lists this long non-coding RNA (466 nucleotides) under Dasypus novemcinctus (nine-banded armadillo). Its description in RNAcentral is "lncRNA (ENSDNOG00000049906.1)". The record is from RNAcentral. Lineage: Eukaryota; Metazoa; Chordata; Mammalia; Cingulata; Dasypodidae.